Long non-coding RNA from Talpa occidentalis (Iberian mole), 532 nucleotides. RefSeq lists it as uncharacterized. Lineage: Eukaryota; Metazoa; Chordata; Mammalia; Eulipotyphla; Talpidae. The record is from RefSeq and is a predicted model, not a curated record. The transcript is spliced from 3 exons.
CAUGGAGGCUCCAGCCAGGCGGGAGCUACAGCGGCAAUGGUGCAUGUCCUGAUCAUGCAGUUCACAACCAAACCCACAGCUGCAACAAGCACAAUGAUGCCAGGUGAAAUUUGCAAACCAGGAUGUUCCUCGGAUGGCACCGGUGAGUAAGCUUCCUUCUGCCUCUCCACUUGACUGUCACACAAGUCUUCUGUAACAACUUGAUGUGCCUAGAGAAAGACUCAAGUCUCCUCCCACACUGAUUCCACAAGGCUGUGUCCAGUCAAUUCCUGGUUGUGAGGAAAGGCUGAGAACAUGAAAACAUGAAGUGAGAGGAUGGGGGACCUUGCCAGCCCGCACUGCCUUGGCUUGGAGACACUACUGAUGGACUAUGUCAACAGACAGGACACUACUGAUUCUAAGGUGCGUGGGAAAUGAGUUAGAAAGAUUGGGACCUGGCCAAAGUAGAAGAAGUGAUGAUGGUGAAUAUCCAAUAGCAAUAAUAAUGGUAACUGACAUUUAUCGAAUACCUCCAAGGUGCCAGGAGCAUUCU